This 273-nucleotide ribosomal RNA is filed under the name uncultured eukaryote. RNAcentral's name for it is "partial 18S ribosomal RNA". It matches the Rfam family "Eukaryotic small subunit ribosomal RNA", at positions 86 to 357 of the family's 1831-position model. The record is from RNAcentral.
ACUGCGUACAGCUCAUUAUAUCAGUUAUUAUUUAUUUGAUGGUACCUUACUACAUGGAUACCCGUAGUAAUUCUAGAGCUAAUACAUGCGUAUAAGUCCCGACUUUUUGGAAGGGAUGUAUUUAUUAAAUUAAAAACCAAUGCAGGCAACUGCUCCUUUGGUGAUUCAUAGUAACUUUAACGGAUCGCACGGCUUCACGUCGGCGACAGUUCAUUCAAAUUUCUGCCCUAUCAUCUUUCGACGGUACUGUAGUGGACUACCGUGGCAUUAACG